Dromiciops gliroides (monito del monte) is the source of this 106-nucleotide small nuclear RNA. NCBI's taxonomy places the organism in Eukaryota, Metazoa, Chordata, Mammalia, Microbiotheria, Microbiotheriidae. The record is from RefSeq and is a predicted model, not a curated record.
GUGCUUCAGCAGCACAUAUACUAAAAAAAUUGGAAUGAUACAGAUAAGAUUAGCAUGGUCCCUGCACAAGGAUGACACACAAAUUUGUAAAGCAUUCCAUUUGGCU